GACGAACGCUGGCGGCGUGCCUAAUACAUGCAAGUUGAGCGCUGAAGGUUGGUACUUGUGCCAACUGGAUGAGCAGCGAACGGGUGAGUAACGCGUGGGGAAUCUGCCUUUGAGCGGGGGACAACAUUUGGAAACGAAUGCUAAUACCGCAUAAAAACUUUAAACACAAGUUUUAAGUUUGAAAGAUGCAAUUGCAUCACUCAAAGAUGAUCCCGCGUUGUAUUAGCUAGUUGGUGAGGUAAAGGCUCACCAAGGCGAUGAUACAUAGCCGACCUGAGAGGGUGAUCGGCCACAUUGGGACUGAGACACGGCCCAAACUCCUACGGGAGGCAGCAGUAGGGAAUCUUCGGCAAUGGACGAAAGUCUGACCGAGCAACGCCGCGUGAGUGAAGAAGGUUUUCGGAUCGUAAAACUCUGUUGGUAGAGAAGAACGUUGGUGAGAGUGGAAAGCUCAUCAAGUGACGGUAACUACCCAGAAAGGGACGGCUAACUACGU
Molecule: ribosomal RNA, 496 nt
Filed under: uncultured bacterium
Lineage: Bacteria
Description: partial 16S ribosomal RNA
Rfam family: Bacterial small subunit ribosomal RNA
Source: RNAcentral